This 888-nucleotide long non-coding RNA is filed under the name Mustela putorius furo (domestic ferret). RNAcentral's name for it is "lncRNA (ENSMPUG00000031453.1)". Lineage: Eukaryota; Metazoa; Chordata; Mammalia; Carnivora; Mustelidae. The record is from RNAcentral.
GCAAAGCUUUAUUUUGCACCAAGCAUCGAAAAUCAAACCAACCAGUAGGGGCUGUCUCUUACAAAGAGGGAACAACGACCAGGACACUGACCCUGACAACUUCCCUUACCCGACAACGAUUCCCUUACCCAACAACGAUUCCCCUACCCAACCACGAUGCUCCUGGCUGCAAUGCUUCCCAGCGAGACCGCUUCCAAAGAUCCCCAGGCUCCCCAUGACACUCUCCAACAAUGCUGGUCCCGACGACCCCAGGCUAUUACUACUCCUCCCCUGCCUCACAGACUAACCUUUAUAGAGGUGGUUGAUCCCAGCCCACACACAGGUGGCCAAUGAGAUUGCAACACACAGGGAAAACUGCCCAGUCACCCUCAUCAGCAAUAUGGUGGCCAAUUGAAUUCUAAUUCACCAUAGCAAAUAUGUGUGCGCCCCACUGAUUGGAUGUCUCCAUCCAGCUUGGCCUGCUCCUAUAUCCGGGGUUUGCAAGCAAGUUCGUCUGGGAGUGGCGGGGUCAAUCUUAAAUUUACAACCAAACGGCUCCCUCUGGCUAACCAAACCCCUACAGGGAAAGAGGAAUGUUAUCUUCACUCUGUAAUAUUGGCAAAUAUUUUCUGGAGAUGUGGAAGAGAUGUUUCUAUCUUUACUACCCUGAACCAUGUCUGGAGGACAGAUGUCUAUAAACUUUACUAUCUGGAAUAUCUCCUUGUUCAACUAUUCUCAAAUUAGAAAUGUGAAAUAUUCAUAGAUAAUUGUCUUCCUACAAGAACCAAACAAAAACUUUUUUAAAAAUCAGACUUUUAUAAAAAUGAUAAAUUUAUUAACUGCCUUCCCAACACUUAGUUUGGCAGAAAAUAUUUAUAAUCAAACACAUUGCAUAAAAAUAUCUGUAUU